RNAcentral lists this long non-coding RNA (501 nucleotides) under Helianthus annuus (common sunflower). The record is from RNAcentral. Lineage: Eukaryota; Viridiplantae; Streptophyta; Magnoliopsida; Asterales; Asteraceae.
GCUGCCAAAAUCUUAUCAAGGUGAGUUUAUAUGAUUUCAAUUACAAAAUCAUCGUCACAAAUCUCUUGGAUUUUUCUUAAUUUAGAACUUUACAACGUUGAAUUUCACCGUACAUAACGCAAGAUGGAUUGAGAUUGCUUAGCGAACAAAACCCUAAUUCAGAGCUAUGGAAGGUCAUAAAACCCAAAAUUGCAAGGCCUGGUAGGGUUCCCGUUACCACCUGCGUGUGGGAUUGUGACGGGAAGUCAGUUGCACGUGGUAUUGGUGAUGACUCUAUACAGAUAUGGAGUAUAUAGCCUGGGAGGGAAAAUCGACCAGACAUUUAUGUAGCCAGUGACUAAAAGAAAUAAAUUACAGUUGUAUAUCAACACCAUAUUUGUCUUUUGAUGCAGGAAAUCAAGUGCUAUAGUUGAAGGUUAACAAGUAGGUUCCUCAUUCGACAAAGGAACAACAUGUUGGAAGGGUGCAGGAUAUUCAAGGAGCUCUACAAAUGAGAAAAAU